Long non-coding RNA from Nematostella vectensis (starlet sea anemone), 681 nucleotides. RefSeq lists it as uncharacterized. Lineage: Eukaryota; Metazoa; Cnidaria; Anthozoa; Actiniaria; Edwardsiidae. The record is from RefSeq and is a predicted model, not a curated record. The transcript is spliced from 2 exons.
UCCCUCUGAUUGAUGUUGCGCUAUAUCCCUCGAGGUUCACGUGGGUAAAGGUCAGUUAUUAAGAAACUCAUAAAUAAUCAUAUAGAACCAAAUUAAUUCCCGCCCGCUGUAGACUUAUAUCAACAUUGUGAAUCAAGCCCUUGAUACAAACUUUUGCAUUUUACAGGGGCCGGGGUCAAAAAUUCCGUUGUUCAGAGCGUGCGGCUUGUUAUGACACUAUCAGAAUCCGCUAUUUUGCAUACGUCAUUCACCCCUUGCUGGCUGCCUGGGAUGUCGCCGACUUGUACUGGUUUUCGUUGGAUUGUACCGGUUGCAUUUUCUUAGCGAAUCUCCGUGAUUUUAGGGAAUUUUAUCGAAUUUUAGUGAUCAAAUCAAAAUGACCUCCAAGAAAUUUGUUGUUGUGGAGUGGCUGAACAACGCAGGGGAUCGUUGCGAGUUAACAGUUCUCAGGGGAAGUGAAGUUUUGCGCCAGGGUGGUUUGGUAUCGGUGGUAUUCAUUGCAUUGCAGCAGAUAACACACCAAGACUUUACGAGGCAGAAGUGUUGCAAAACUUCGACUCACAGCGCAAGGCAAGCAGUUUGUAAACGAGCUUCUUGAGGGAGGCAACGACAGCGUUGACCGAGGUGACAUUAUAAGAAUAGGAAAAUCCACAGAAUAUUAAAUGCAUUCUUCGCAUCCCU